This 672-nucleotide long non-coding RNA is filed under the name Mus pahari (shrew mouse). RNAcentral describes it as "lncRNA (MGP_PahariEiJ_G0012441.1)". The record is from RNAcentral. Lineage: Eukaryota; Metazoa; Chordata; Mammalia; Rodentia; Muridae.
GAUACCAACAAUGCCAGUCCAGGAUUGGAGUGGAAAGAGAGCCAAACCCCAUCACACCUUGUGUUCAAGACACUGUUUCAAGCAGAAUUCCGGACAGAAACAACUUAAAGGAGAAAGAAUGCGCGGUGGCUCAUGGUUCCCAGGGAUAGCUGUCUGUCAAGAAGGAGAAGGCGUGGUCGAGUCUGUGACCGGAGAGCGUGGAGCAGAGGCUGCUCCUAUGUGGGAAGCAGCGAGCUCAGUCAGGAGCCAGAAUCUCUGCCCCAGUAACGCACUCCUGCUGGUGGGGCCACAACCUCUAAACCAGGGCCACCAGCAGGGGCUAAGUGUGCAGCUGUGGUGAGAGCGAGGAUUAGAGACCCGCACACCUGGCUGGCUAGCCUGAGAGAGACACAGAGACAGAACAAAGGCCUACAGCUCCUGACCCCGCCUCCUUCCUACCCAGGGUCAAUUAGGCCUAGAAUUUCCUGUAGGCCUUGUCCUCAGCUGGAGGCAAUAAAUCAUGGUAUGGGUUUCUGUUGCACAGUGGUUGUCAGUCUGACAUCUCCCACACAUUGNNCUCAUACCCANGCNGGUACAAGGCCGUAUGUCUAUCUGCAGGGGAAUGCUGGGGGCACUUAGCUNUNAAGUGCAAGUGUACUUUUCGAUUAAAGUCCCUUUUCUCUGUCUCAAGGC